This is a long non-coding RNA of Acanthaster planci (crown-of-thorns starfish), 4338 nucleotides long. The record is from RefSeq and is a predicted model, not a curated record. Lineage: Eukaryota; Metazoa; Echinodermata; Asteroidea; Valvatida; Acanthasteridae.
GAUACAUUGUCAUGCAGUUCUGAUAUGAAAACAGUAAAAAAAAAAAGCUGGGGGGUAGCUGCAAGACCAACUGUAGCUGUUGCUUUAAAGAAAAAUGUGGAGUUCUUUGUCAAAUGCUAUGGAAAAUAAUUUUUCUACAUUUAUCAUAGAUUUAGGGAUAGAAACACAUACAUAAUUUAUGCAUGUAGAGGUCAUGGCCUGGGUCACACCUACCCAUUUAUAUGACAAAUACAUCGUGGACAAAUCAGGAAUUAUAUACCAAUAUCUUAAGAAUUACUUUAACCUCCUUUUCAUUUCUUUUUUUUUCCAGAAUGGAAUCUGACAGGAAAAAAAGCAUCAGAUUUUAUCCAGGGUUGGACGUACUCCUGCUAAGGGAGAUAGUUGCCGACAUUCCCCAAAAUAAAUCAAUGUGGGAGGCCAUAAACAAAAAGUUGAAUGACGUCUUGAAAGAACGAAAUGCCUAUGUCACUUUGAGAGCAUGUAAGGAUCGCCUUUGCCACCUACGAGAGGCACACCGCAGGCAGGAAAUGAAUUCAUUGAGAGCGAGUAUGAUGAAAGGGCACAACUGUUGACCGAACUGGCUGAGUUAGAUGAGGAGCGGAAGAAAGCCAAGGAAACAUCUGGGAAAGACACACAUGCCAAAGAAAUUCAAGGAAAAGAAAUCCGAAUGGCAGCAAUGGAAUCCCUCGCUGGGACCAGUAAGAUGAAUACUGAUGGGAAUGUAGACAAAGAAGCUACCACCCAACAAAAAAGCGACCACCCAACAAAAAAGGAAGCGUGCAGGUACUGAGACUACUGACAGCUACAUCAAGUAUCUUCAAGAGAAGCUGGAUCUUGAACAACAGAAAUUUCAGUUGGAAAAAAGGGAGAGAGAAUUGAGGCUAGAAAGAGAAAACGAAAUGUUUAAGAUGAUGAUGGCAUUGAUUAAGGGAAAGAAUAAGGAGAGCUAAACAGUUUGCUCAGUGAGAUGCAAGUCUUGUAAAUAAAAGAGACAAGGUUUACAUGUAAUUUUGGUCAUUUCAGAUUGUAUUUUUUAUAUUCAGUCUCUCAUUUUUUUCAAAUCUUAUUGUUGAUGUUUGUAAAUAAUACUUAAUUUAUCCAGGAAUUAUUUAAACAUGUACAUGCGAGGUAUAUUUAAUCAUAUGUAUAUUCCAAAUGUAUAUACAUGUAUCAAAUUAUUUAUCAUUGGAUGUUUAUGUAAGUUAACUAUACCUGUACAUUGAGAACUGACAUCCUUGGGAAAUCUAACAUCAAAGGCUUAACUUAAUACAUGUAGUUGGCCACACACAGAUAGAAUUGAGGCAUGGGUAUAUAAUGUACACACCGCAAACGACAGACUACACGUCAUAUUUGAAGGAUUGCCAGAAAAUACAAGGUUCAGUAUCCAAAGUUUUGGGUUAAUUUCAAAUUUUGUGCAAAUGACAACCCUGUUGCAAUUUAAGACACAACACUUAAUCUGAAGAAUCUCUUGGUUCAAACAUUGGAUUGAAGUUUAUCAUUCGGUCUCAAAUCAAGCUAGCCUAUUCAUCAAGCCAUUCAAAUUAACUCCCACAACAAGCAUUCCUUUAUCACUGAUCAUCCAGUCACUUGUGACUAGACUUGUUAAAUGAUCAACUUUGUGAAUUAAACUGAUAAAUCAACAGUUUCUUGAACAGUGAGCAAUGGUCUGAUCUUAAAUUGCAAUUUCAUCUGAUAGCUGAUAGGUCAGCAACACUGCCUGGGCAUACUAGGGCUAUGCAUAUCACGCUAGAUAGUCCUCCAGGGAAGGUGGCUCCAGUUGGAAAACUUGCUUGUCUGAUUUCCAUACAAACGAGUGUGGCAGUUAUUAAGAAGACCUCCAACAAGGUAGUACUUGGCAACUGGGGACAAUAGAACUUUCAAAUUCUUGCGAAAGUCAAGGAAGGCAAAGAUUUUCAACAUCUUUCCAAAUUCCCACUCCACACAUUCUCCCACAGAUGACAUUCUAGUGUUAAAUUCUUCUUCUUCAGCUCUCAGGUUUGCCCCUCUGAAAGGACUUAUCAGGUAGCGUGGGAGAGGAUACGCCGUGUCUCCAUAAAGUGCAUAGGGGAUGCAAUUCCUAUCCGUGAAAUCUCUUGCCUCAAACUGUUCCAUCAAUCCACUGAUACGGAGAAGUGCACUGUCAUGCCUUCGUCCCUCUACUGGGCCAUAGAGAUGUGUGAUCAAACCACAUGGUAUCACCACAGACUGGAAUUUGAGUACAUGGAUUCUUCUGUGUCCGUAAAGCAAACUCGCUGAUAACGAGUUGGCCUACAGAUUGGACGAACUGUUCCAUCCACAAAACCAAUGCAAUUUUGCAAUGGCGCUCCUUUGUUGUGUAUUGUGUCUGCAUAGAGCUGAAGGUGUGCUGCAUCAAGCCAUGCGUUGUCCAAGGACAGGAAGCGAUGGUGAUGAGAAGUGUACAGAAAGUCAACAAGCUGGUUAAUAAUCAGUGAUAGAGUUGAUUUGGGUCUGCCAAACAAUUCUUCCAGGUCUGAUAGCCGAUUUGGAUCAAAUCUCCUUAACAAUACACAGACAGUGUCAAUACCAUUGCAAGUUGAAGCAUUUUUCAGUUGUAUGCUCUCUGGAACACCAAGUAAAUUACUCAGGCGAUAAAUGUCAUCUUUCUUAAAUCGAAACUUAUCCAAGCACUGAUCAUCCGUCAAUUCUGCUAAGUUAAACCUUGGCCAUGCAGGGUUGUAGGUCACUUUUCUUCUUGAGUCAGGUGCAUUUGCAAGGAGAAGUUGAAUAAAUUCAGCAUCUUCGUCUUCAAUCGCCAAAUCAAUCAAGUUGAGAUUUGGCGCGGCCAUCUUUAAAUCCCCCGCCGAUACGCGCCCUCUAUAGAGCUCAUUCUAAACGUAACCGGGAUCACCCACGAAACACCCAACACUAAACGCUCAAGUAUACGACUACGUUUAGAGAUAAACGUUGUCGUCUCUCUAACCGUAUGCCAACGAAACCUCUCUAUUUGUACUGUCCAUCGACUGAUCACGCCUAGGGGUUUGGAAUGUAGACAGGAGUAAUAAAUCUCCUCCAGUUGCACCUGCUGGCCACCCCCUUGCCAAUAACCGUGAAUGACUAUAGAGGAAGGAGGGGAAUGACUUCGCUAAUGUGGGUAACCUCUUCCAGGAAGAUGGAUGAUAUACAUGUACAUUGGAAUACAAUAACUAUAUGCACAGCCAGCUUUGUGCCAAAAAAGCCACAUUGGUUUAGUUUUUUGAAGCCGUCACAUGAAAAUGGAAUUCGCUCUGCAAGAGAACUCCCUUUCAAGACCGAAUAUUGGUUCGGUUGUCUUGGACUUUGGAGCGGACAUUUACGCCUGUAUAUUCCUGAGUGCUUUCCUUUGUUCCCUGGCCACUUGUAGAGGUUUGUGGGGCCGACUUUUGCCAGAGACGUCCGGGACUGAUUGUCUUGUCCCCAGGUUGCCCUCCUUGGAGUAGUGUCACAUUUCGUAGCAGCCAGCGAUGCCCCGUUUGAUCCGAGGGCGGAAGACACAGGCCCACCGUUUAUCCCUGUUGCGUACUGCUACAGCUGCAGCUGGACAUUGCCACGGUCCUGGGCACCCCCGUCAUGGGAAAGUGACAGCAGAGCCAGCGCUAGAGGCCACCACAGAGAGAGCAUCAGCUCCAGUCGACGGGUCGCCCAGGUUUCGCAGUUCCAGCCGUGGUGGGAUCAAGCUGGGUUUCUGCUGCUGGACCUACGGUAACAAGUAUGCCCCCUGCUGCUGUCGGUGAUAGUCGGUCAGUGGACCUUUCAGUGGAUGGCAACCUAACCUAGCGGACGUUAAUAAUAGUAGUAUUGGCAGUAUAAGCAAUUGGUCUUCUGCCGGUUUAAUAGGCACAAGUACAGGGCUUAACCCAAGUACAUGUACUUAUGUCAGUGCUUUUCCCAAGUAGUGUUGGGGGGCAAAUACUUUGAGUGCUAGCGGUUAAGUGCUCCCGACUAGUAUGAAUACUUCCCUCCCUUAUUCUAAUCUGGCGUUUGUAGACGAGAGAAGUUAUCAGAUCGGGAUGUAGUUCGUGCAGAAAGCCAUCCCUCACACACCGCCAGUCCUGGCUUUGCUCAGGCCAAUAACAACAGCCUUUUACCCGGCGCGUCGGCUCUAGACAUGACAAGACUGGCUCUUCUACAGUCUUUAGACAUCGGGGCUCCCAUUGAUCUCCAUGUCUCCCCAUCAGUGAAAGAGAAGGUUUGUAAUGGUCAAUAUAUUGAAAUGGCAAUAUUGUACCGUGACAAUGCCAACAGGGCGCUGGCCUCUAUGGCGAGCGAGUCAGAGUUAACCAUGGCUGUCGAGCAAGAGAAGAUUGUUUUUCGGCCUGUGGCUCCUCAGUCGCGAAAUUG